This 1674-nucleotide long non-coding RNA is filed under the name Mytilus galloprovincialis (Mediterranean mussel). Lineage: Eukaryota; Metazoa; Mollusca; Bivalvia; Mytilida; Mytilidae. The record is from RNAcentral.
UAAGUAUUCUUAUUUUGUGAAGAACCACACUUAUUCUAUCGGAAAAUACUGUAAUGAUGAUAUCAUAAUGCUGGACUUUUUAAUCGACAAUAUAUUUGUUGAGUUUGGAGGAUUGAUAUUUCAACAUACAGUAGGUAUUCCAAUAUAUACUUAUUGUGCACUCCUUCUGGCCGACUUGUACAAAGUCGAAUUUAUUCUAAAAGACAAAAAGAAAAAAGCACAUUACAAAAUACUUUUACUUUACUUUCAGAUAUAUUGAUAAUGUCCUAUUACUGAAUAACACACAUUUCAGUCAGUACUUGCAUCUCAUAUGUCCUAGUGAACUUGAAAUUUAUGGUUCUUUUGUUACAAGAAGAACUGCUUCAUACCUUGAUCUUUUCUUGACACAGAUGGACGACUUCUCACUAAAAUUAAUGACAAACGGGAUGAUUUCAACUUCCAUAUUAUCAAUUUCCCAUUUAUUAGCAGUAGCAUACCCUCUGCUCCGUCGUAUGGUUUUUACAUACUAGUAUCUCAAUUGAUACGUUAUGCUCGUGUAUGUUCCCACUGUACUGACUUCAUAUACACAGCUGUGUUCUGUAAGUAGAAACUGCUCUAACAUGAGGAGAAAAGAUUAAAAUUGACACUCUGUAAAAGUUAGGGACACCAUCACGAAUUGGUUGGUGUAUACGAUGUGUAUGUGUCUAAACUAACUAAAGACAUUUUAAACCACGUCUUAUAUUGUGGUUUAACAUCUAUUUCGUCUAUAUGCUAAGUACCUAGCGUGACCUAUUACCGAAUAGAAUUCCUGACCGAGUGUGAAUUUGUAUUGCUAAACAAUGUGUACAUUUCUGUUGUGGUUCGGUUUGAUAAUGUGUUAUGUCUUAUUGUUGUAGUCCAAAUUAGUAUAACAUUGCAUUUCAAUGCCAUCGUUGUCAAGAAAAUUGUUUGAACUAGUAUUGUGAAAUUAAUUGUAUAAAGUUAGAGAUGGCCUGUUCGUUACAUAUGUGUGACUCUGUUUGUUGAUGGAAUAUGGCCGUUGUUGUUCUGCAGUUUACAUGUUGUGUCGACUAUUGUAUUAUUUGUUUGUGCGUUUUCCUGUGAUUAUUGUUCAUGUGUGUUUAUGCUGUUUUUAUGUCAUGUAGUAAGUGUUGUCAUUUGAGCGAUAUUUUUUAACAUUGUCAUAUAAGCGGGAGGUUUGACUAGCUAUAAAACUAGGUUCAACCCAUCAGUUGUUUCUUAAAAUGUCCUGUACCAAGUCAGGAAUUUGGCAUUUGUCAUCAAAGUUUUAAAACUUUCUAUGCAUGUUGGCGUUUGUUUUGUUGCAUUUUCAGUGUUCCUGUUGUUCCUUUGUUUUCCUCUUAUGAUUGAUGUGUUUCCUUUUGUUUAAAUUUGUAACCCGGAUUUCUUUCCUCUCCACCGAUUAAUGACUUUUGACCACAGGUAUAAUACUGUUGCCUUCAUUUAUUCAUCAAUAUAACUGCUAGAUGUUGUUUGUAAUUACCAAGGAGAGAAGAGGCAUGACAGAUAGCUUUGUAGUAUAACUAUUACUAGCUAGUAUAUAUAGAUAUCAAGUCAUUGACAAUAUAAUUUUAAAUGUACUUUGUUAGCCAUCUGUAUACAUUGUCACUUAAAUUGGGAUCAACCCAAAAACUCCCUUCCCAUACAUACUUUAAACAUGCAACUACAGAAAUC